AUUAAGAUAGCUAAUAAAGCAUUUAAGCUGUAAACUUAAGGAUGGGUUUCCUCUUAUUA
This 59-nucleotide transfer RNA is filed under the name Neelus murinus. RNAcentral's name for it is "tRNA-Tyr". Lineage: Eukaryota; Metazoa; Arthropoda; Collembola; Neelipleona; Neelidae. The record is from RNAcentral.